Molecule: long non-coding RNA, 264 nt
Filed under: Elaeis guineensis (African oil palm)
Lineage: Eukaryota; Viridiplantae; Streptophyta; Magnoliopsida; Arecales; Arecaceae
Description: long non-coding RNA (EGUI_LNC053504)
Source: RNAcentral
GGUGCUAGCUCUCUUACAGAGAUUGCUUUCUGGAUUGUCGAAGUGACUUGAUGUUUUGAUCUUCUUCUCAAGAAAAUUAGAUAGAUCUAAAAGAGGAAGAUGAAAUCAGAUCACAUCUAUUUUUUUUUCUUUUCUUUUCUCAAGAGAAAAUAUGAAGAUCUAUAGAAGAAGACAAGAGAUCUAAUCUCUUUCUUUUUUCUACUUGUCCAACCCUUGGACUAGAUCUAGGAAAGGAAGAGGAGAACCGUUUGUGCCCAUCUCAUA